CAGGAGAUGCUUCAGACUCUUCCGGCGGUUUGAGAACUGUAUAAAAGGGCUCGGCAAUGCGGGUGUUUUAAUCACUUCUCAUCUUUCCUCUUUAGUAAGCCAGGUUCGCCUCCAGCACAGCAAGAUGUCUGACAGCCUGGACAUGACUGAAGACCUGUACUACCAGUACCCAACUUGUUGUUGGAGACCCCCCUGUAGAAGGCGAUGUUGGUGUUGUUGCUAUAAUCCAUGCACUGGACAGCUAAUUUGGCAGGGAUGGUGCUGGUGCCCAGGGUGGCGCAGUAGGGGCAGAUAUGGAAGGUGUUGGCCAUGCUAAAUCCAGCUCAAAUUUUCACAGCACUUGGACCACCGCGGACAUGGAAAGCAAGAUACAGAUUCAUGGCUGACCCAAAGGACAUGACUAAGCACUCAGCACCUCCAGUGUGAGGGCUCGGCAUUGCUACAAGAUUCCCUCCCCCAUUCACCUGUUUCCUACACUUUGCUUUGUUACUCUAGGAACUUUGCAUUCUCUGCACUGUUAAGCAUUAAGACUUCUUCAUGCUGUGCUGUCAUUUAAAAGGAUGCCUGUGCUUCCCUAGAGUCCACUUGCAAUCCAGUGCAGAACACGUGACACAGCCACAGUGCUGUCAAAGGUUUUUGGUGUGAACAGAAAAAAGAUGCUCUUUUAUCCUUUACUUCUAACAUGAAAGUUGGCUACACAGACUGCAUCAUUGAGAAGCUGCUCAUUCCCCUCUUUACCUUGUGCUUUGUCUCAUGUGACAUUAUUCCUGGAGAAAAGUAAUGAAUAAAUAGAUGGAAACAGCUUGAUAGGAAAAGUCUGCUGCUGCAAAGAAGGACACACACC
Molecule: long non-coding RNA, 844 nt
Organism: Alligator sinensis (Chinese alligator)
Lineage: Eukaryota; Metazoa; Chordata; Crocodylia; Alligatoridae
Exons: 2
Source: RefSeq, a predicted model, not a curated record